Molecule: long non-coding RNA, 468 nt
Organism: Neogale vison (American mink)
Lineage: Eukaryota; Metazoa; Chordata; Mammalia; Carnivora; Mustelidae
Exons: 6
Source: RefSeq, a predicted model, not a curated record
GACGGAGCCGAGGGGGCGGGGGCUCCCUCCCGGGAGCGUUUCUAGAGCUCGGAGGCAGCUAGUAGGGGUUUCAUUGUCCACAUGUUUAAAGUCUAACAGAAAAAAAAAAUCACUGGAUGUGAAGUUGGGAGACAGAGCCAAGUCUACAUCUACAUCGUCAUGCUGGUGACCUUGGGGCACCACUUUCAGAUAAAAACAUAGACCUGAAUGGCAUCAUCCAGUAUCCAAGGAAACCAUUCUGGCAUCUUCAUGCAACUGAAAGGAUGUUCCACUGAACAGUGACGACUCUGGAGAGAGAGAAGAAAUCACAGAUGGCCAAAUGCAGUUUGAGAGGUGAAUACACCAAGAUUUAGAGAAACUAAGUGACUUGCUCAGGAUUCUGAAAGAGAAUGGCUAUAAAUCUUGGAAAGAAUGCACUGACCAGCUAUCUGAGAACUAUGAAGAACAAACAGCAGAGCAAUUGGAGAA